CCUACGGGAGGCAGCAGUAGGGAAUAUUGCUCAAUGGGGGAAACCCUGAAGCAGCAACGCCGCGUGGAGGAUGAAGGUUUUCGGAUUGUAAACUCCUUUUGUUAGAGAAGAUAAUGACGGUAUCUAACGAAUAAGCACCGGCUAACUCCGUGCCAGCAGCCGCGGUAAUACGGAGGGUGCAAGCGUUACUCGGAAUCACUGGGCGUAAAGAGCGCGUAGGCGGGAUAGCAAGUCAGAUGUGAAAUCCUAUGGGUUAAACAUAGAACUGCAUUUGAAACUGUUAUUCUAGAUUAGUGGAGAGGUAGGUGGAAAUCUUGGUGUAGGGGGAAAAGCCGGAGAGAUCAAGAGGAAUAAUCAAUGCGAAGGCGAACUGCUAGAACAUAACUGACG
RNAcentral lists this ribosomal RNA (390 nucleotides) under uncultured bacterium. RNAcentral's name for it is "partial 16S ribosomal RNA". It matches the Rfam family "Bacterial small subunit ribosomal RNA", at positions 338 to 745 of the family's 1533-position model. The record is from RNAcentral.